GGGGAAUUUUGCGCAAUGGACGAAAGUCUGACGCAGCAACGCCGCGUGGGUGAUGAAGGUCUUCGGAUUGUAAAACCCUGUCGUCAGGGACGAAGGUUGGGGUCUUAAUAUGGCUUCAGCUUGACGGUACCUGGAGAGGAAGCCCCGGCUAACUCUGUGCCAGCAGCCGCGGUAAUACAGAGGGGGCAAGCGUUAUUCGGAAUUAUUGGGCGUAAAGGGCGCGUAGGCGGUUUUGUAAGUAGGAUGUGUAAUCCCCGAGCUCAACUUGGGAACUGCAUCCUAGACUGCAGGACUGGAGUGCUGGAGAGGGUGGUGGAAUUCCACGUGUAGCGGUGAAAUGCGUAGAGAUGUGGAGGAACACCAGUGGCGAAGGCGGCCACCUGGACAGUAACUGACGCUGAGGCGCGAAAGUGUGGGUAGCAAAC
RNAcentral lists this ribosomal RNA (425 nucleotides) under uncultured bacterium. RNAcentral describes it as "bacterial SSU rRNA". It matches the Rfam family "Bacterial small subunit ribosomal RNA", at positions 356 to 773 of the family's 1533-position model. The record is from RNAcentral.